Molecule: ribosomal RNA, 780 nt
Filed under: uncultured Neisseriales bacterium
Lineage: Bacteria; Pseudomonadati; Pseudomonadota; Betaproteobacteria; Neisseriales
Description: bacterial SSU rRNA
Rfam family: Bacterial small subunit ribosomal RNA
Source: RNAcentral
AAGCUUGCUUCUUGGGUGGCGAGUGGCGAACGGGUGAGUAACAUAUCGGAACGUACCGAGCAGUGGGGGAUAACUAAUCGAAAGAUUAGCUAAUACCGCAUAUUUUCUGAGGAAGAAAGCAGGGGACCAUUUGGCCUUGCGCUGUUUGAGCGGCCGAUAUCUGAUUAGCUAGUUGGUGGGGUAAAGGCCUACCAAGGCGACGAUCAGUAGCGGGUCUGAGAGGAUGAUCCGCCACACUGGGACUGAGACACGGCCCAGACUCCUACGGGGAGGCAGCAGUGGGGAAUUUUGGACAAUGGGCGCAAGCCUGAUCCAGCCAUGCCGCGUGUCUGAAGAAGGCCUUCGGGUUGUAAAGGACUUUUGUCAGGGAAGAAAAGGGCAGGGUUAAUACCCCUGUCUGAUGACGGUACCUGAAGAAUAAGCACCGGCUAACUACGUGCCAGCAGCCGCGGUAAUACGUAGGGUGCGAGCGUUAAUCGGAAUUACUGGGCGUAAAGCGGGCGCAGACGGUUACUUAAGCAGGAUGUGAAAUCCCCGGGCUCAACCUGGGAACUGCGUUCUGAACUGGGUGACUAGAGUGUGUCAGAGGGAGGUAGAAUUCCACGUGUAGCAGUGAAAUGCGUAGAGAUGUGGAGGAAUACCGAUGGCGAAGGCAGCCUCCUGGGAUAACACUGACGUUCAUGCCCGAAAGCGUGGGUAGCAAACAGGAUUAGAUACCCUGGUAGUCCACGCCCUAAACGAUGUCGAUUAGCUGUUGGGCAGCAUGACUGCUUAGUAGCG